RNAcentral lists this ribosomal RNA (856 nucleotides) under uncultured Pseudomonadota bacterium. RNAcentral describes it as "bacterial SSU rRNA". It matches the Rfam family "Bacterial small subunit ribosomal RNA", at positions 659 to 1533 of the family's 1533-position model. The record is from RNAcentral. Lineage: Bacteria; Pseudomonadati; Pseudomonadota.
GGGGGGAACUCGGAGGGUGAGUGACAUUUCGUAAAUUUUGCAAGAAAACCAGUGGAGAAGGCGGUUCAUGGGCCCCAUAUGAACCUUGGGUGCAGAAAGCGUGGGAGCCAACCAGGAUUAGAUCCCUGGUUGUUCCACCCCGUUAAACAAUGAAUGCUAACCGUUGGCGGUUUUACUUGUCAGUGGCGCAGGUAACGCAUUAGGCAUCCCGCCCUGGGGAGUACGGUCGCAAGAUUAAAACUCAAAGGAAUGAACGGGGGCCCGCACAAGCCGGUGGAGCAUGUGGUUCAAUUCGAAGCAACGCGCAGAACCUUACCAGCCCUUGACAUGCCACGACGGUUUCCAGAGAUGAUUCUUCCCCGCAAGGGGCGUGGACACAGGUGCUGCAUGGCUGUCGUCAGCUCGUGUCGUGAGAUGUUGGGUUAAGUCCCGCAACGAGCGCAACCCUCGCCCUUAGUUGCCAUCAUUCAGUUGGGCACUCUAAGGGGACUGCCGGUGAUAAGCCGCGAGGAAGGUGGGGAUGACGUCAAGUCCUCAUGGCCCUUACGGGCUGGGCUACACGCGUGCUACAAUGGCGGUGACAGUGGGAUGCAAUGGAGUAAUCCUGCGCAAAUCUCAAAAAGCCGUCUCAGUUCGGAUUGUGCUCUGCAACUCGAGCACAUGAAGUUGGAAUCGCUAGUAAUCGCAGAUCAGCACGCUGCGGUGAAUACGUUCCCGGGCCUGUACACACCGCCCGUCACACCAUGGGAGUUGGCUUUACCUGAAGACGGUGCGCUAACCGCAAGGAGGCAGCCGGCCACGGUAGGGUCAGCGACUGGGGUGAAGUCGUAACAAGGUAAAUCGAAUUCCCGCGGCC